UGAUAGCAAUGAAGCGCGAGGUUGCUGCUGGAUGUGAGAGUUGCACAAGAAGGCAGGUUUUCCGUGGAGCGAAUGUCAAGUUAGGAAACUGGCGACAA
Molecule: non-coding RNA, 98 nt
Filed under: Mediterraneibacter butyricigenes
Lineage: Bacteria; Bacillati; Bacillota; Clostridia; Lachnospirales; Lachnospiraceae
Description: S10-Clostridia ribosomal protein leader
Rfam family: S10-Clostridia ribosomal protein leader
Source: RNAcentral